Molecule: long non-coding RNA, 1886 nt
Organism: Oncorhynchus tshawytscha (Chinook salmon)
Lineage: Eukaryota; Metazoa; Chordata; Actinopteri; Salmoniformes; Salmonidae
Source: Ensembl
UUCAAUGCCAUACAACUCUCCUUCCGUGGCCUCCAACUGCUCUUCAAUGCAAGUAAAACUAAAUGCAUGCUCUUCAACCGAUAGCUGCCCGCACCUGCCCGCCCGCCCAGCAUCACUACUCUGGACGGUUUUGACUUAAAAUAGGUGGACAACUACAAAUACCUAGGUGUCUGGUUAGACUGUAAACUCCCCUUCCAGACCCACAUUUAGCAUCUCCAAUCCAAAAUUAAAUCUAGAAUUGGCUUCCUAUUUCGCAACAAAGCAUUCUUCACUCAUGCUGCCAAACAUACCCUCGUAAAACUGACUAUCCUACCGAUCCUCGACUUCGGCGAUGUCAUUUACAAAAUAGCCUCCAACACUCUACUCAGCAAACUGGAUGCAGUCUAUCAUAGUGCCAUCCGUUUUGUCACCAAAAUCCCAUACACUACCCACCACUGCGACCUGUACACUCUCGUUGGCUGGCCCUCACUUCAUACUUGUCGCUAAACCCACUGGCUCCAGGUCAUCUACAAGUCUCUGAUAGGUAAAGCCCCACCUUAUCUCUGCUCACUGGUCAGCAUAGCAGCACCCACCCACAGCACGCGCUCCAGCAGGUAUAUCUCUCUGGUCAGCAUAGCAGCACCCACCCACAGCACGCGCUCCAGCAGGUAUAUCUCACUGGUCACCAAAGCAGCACCCACCCACAGCACGCGCUCCAGCAGGUAUAUUUCACUGGUCACCAUAGCAGCACCCACCCACAGCACGCGCUCCAGCAGGUAUAUCUCACUGGUCAGCAUAGCAGCACCCACCCACAGCACGCGCUCCAGCAGGUAUAUCUCACUGGUCACCAAAGCAGCACCCACCCACAGCACGCGCUCCAGCAGGUAUAUCUCACUGGUCACCAAAGCAGCACCCACCCACAGCACGCGCUCCAGCAGGUAUAGCUCACUGGUCAUCCCCAAAGCAGCACCCACCCAUAGCACGCGCUCCAGCAGGUAUAUUUCACUGGUCAUCCCCAAAGCCUAUUCCUCCUUUGGCUGCCUUUCCUUCCAGUUGUCUGCUGCCAAUGACUGGAACGAACUGCAAAAAUCACUGAAGCUGGAGAAUCAUAUCUCCCUCACUAACUUCAAGCAACUGCUGUCAGAGCAGCUCACAGAUCACUGCACCUGUACAUAGCCCAUCUGUAAAUAGCCCAUCUGUAAACAGCCCAUCCAACUACCUCAUCCCCAUACUGUAUUUAUUUAUUGAUUUUGCUCCUUUGCACCCCAGUAUCUCUACUUGCACAUUCAUCUUCUGCGUAUCUAUCACUCCGGUGUUUAAUUGCAGUACUUCGCCACAUGGCCUAUUUUACUGCCUCACCUCCCUUAUCUCACCUCACUUGCUCACAUUGUAUAUAGACCUUUUCUACUGUAUUAUUGACUGUAUGUUUGUUUUACUCCAUGUGUUACUCUGUGUCGUUGUAUGUGUCGAACUGCUUUGCUUUAUCUUGGCCAGGUCACAUUUGUAAAUGAGAACUUGUUCUCAACUAGCCUACCUGGUUAAAUAAAGGUGAAAUAAAAAAUAAUAAAAUAAAAAAGACAAAUUACGGUUUCCGAUCUCUCCAAAACAACACGGUGAUGUCAAAAGGUUAAGGAGCAUGAGGACAUGAGAGGACAUGUGGAGAGCCUUGGUCUGGUACCAUUAAAAGGUCAUUUACCAUUAGACACGGUUGAUUUGAUUUGAUUUGAUUUGAAAUGGGACACACUGAGCUGACUACACAGAGUCCUGCCGCCUGGCAUGCACGCUAUCUCAUUGAAGCCUGAGGAGUUCGAGCCUUGUCUAUGUAUAUCUACCUGGUUAAAUAAAGGUGAAAUAAAUAAAUACAUUUUUUUUUUAAAUCUGCAAUGACAUGACAAGAGAAACUGCUG